This 253-nucleotide ribosomal RNA is filed under the name uncultured bacterium. RNAcentral's name for it is "partial 16S ribosomal RNA". It matches the Rfam family "Bacterial small subunit ribosomal RNA", at positions 524 to 776 of the family's 1533-position model. The record is from RNAcentral.
UACGUAGGGCGCAAGCGUUAUCCGGAAUUAUUGGGCGUAAAGGGUGCGUAGGCGGCGCGGUAAGUCGGGUGUGAAAUCUCGGGGCUUAACUCCGAAACUGCAUUCGAUACUGCCGUGCUUGAGGACUGGAGAGGAGACUGGAAUUUACGGUGUAGCGGUGAAAUGCGUAGAUAUCGUAAGGAAGACCAGUGGCGAAGGCGGGUCUCUGGACAGUUCCUGACGCUGAGGCACGAAGGCCAGGGGAGCAAACGGG